This 527-nucleotide long non-coding RNA is filed under the name Lonchura striata (white-rumped munia). RNAcentral's name for it is "domestica (Bengalese finch) lncRNA (ENSLSDG00000012453.1)". Lineage: Eukaryota; Metazoa; Chordata; Aves; Passeriformes; Estrildidae. The record is from RNAcentral.
CAGAGUCCAAUUUUGCGACACAAAUGAGACCCUGAAUUCCAAACCUUGGGGAAAAACAGGGAAUUCCGGUGCCAGGAGGAAAAGCUCCCUCCAGGCUCUCGCUCUGCCUGGGCCACCAAGCGCCAAAAUUCCCUUUUUUCCCCAAAUUCCCUGGGAUUUGCCGUGCCAGGAGCGGGCAAUGCCCUCCCUGCAGCUCCUGGAGAUCCCAGCGCUGUUCCGUUCCAGCUGGAGAGAGCAGCAGAGUCCCGGAGGUUGCGCCCGGAGCAGCAUUCCCGGGAUAUUCCCGGGAUAUUCCCGGGAUAUUCCCCAUUCCCAGGGAACCUGGGGGAGCUCUGCCUUCCCAGGGCAUCCCAAAAGAAGCGCUGGAUCUCUCCCUGCACACAAAAACUCCCGCUGGGAAUUUCCCUUCCCUGUUUUCCACAGCUGCACCCCCUCGGCCGCGCAGACAGAUCGGAUUCCCCGAGAAAAUUCCAGAGGCGCUUCCAGGCAAAACAUUCCCGAAGGGCAAACCGGGAAAAACUUGGAAG